RNAcentral lists this ribosomal RNA (322 nucleotides) under uncultured eukaryote. RNAcentral describes it as "partial 18S ribosomal RNA". It matches the Rfam family "Eukaryotic small subunit ribosomal RNA", at positions 1470 to 1796 of the family's 1831-position model. The record is from RNAcentral.
CCCUUAGAUGUUCUGGGCCGCACGCGUGCUACACUGAGUGGAUCAGCGGGUCAGGUUGCGCGAAAGCGUUUCCUAAUCUUUAAAUCCGCUCGUGAUGGGGAUUGACGGUUGCAAUUUUCUGUCAUGAACGAGGAAUACUUUGUAAGCGCGGGUCAUCAUCCCGCGCUGAAUACGUCCCUGCCCUUUGUACACACCGCCCGUCGCUCCUACCGAUUGAGUGGUCCGGUGAGGCUUUGGGAUCUGAGCGGAAAGAGCGUUUCGCUGUUUCUGCUCGGAAAACUCAGUCGAACCUUAUCAUUUAGAGGAAGGAGAAGUCGUAACA